AACGAACGCUGGCGGCAUGCCUAACACAUGCAAGUCGAACGAGACCUUCGUGUCUAUUGGCGCACGGCUGCUUAACGCGGGGGAACCUGCCCUUAGGUUCCGUGUACCUCCCCUAGAGGGGUGCUCAUGCCAGAGGAUGUCUUCGGACCUAAGAUUUAUCGCUUUUGGAUGGGCCCUCGUUGGAUUAGCUAGUUGGGAGGGUAAAAGCAGACCAAGGCGAGGAUCCAGAGCUGGUAGGAGAGGAUGACUAGCCACACUGGGGAUGAGACACGGACCAGACUCGUACGGGAGGGAGGAGUAGAGAAUAUUGGACAAUGGGCGAAAGCCUGAUACAGCAAUGCCGGGUGAGUGAUGAAGGCCUUAGGGUUGUAAAGCUCUUUUACCCGGGAUGAGAAUGACAGUAACGGGAGAAGAAGCACCGGCUAACUACGUG
RNAcentral lists this ribosomal RNA (433 nucleotides) under uncultured bacterium. Its description in RNAcentral is "partial 16S ribosomal RNA". It matches the Rfam family "Bacterial small subunit ribosomal RNA", at positions 29 to 507 of the family's 1533-position model. The record is from RNAcentral.